RNAcentral lists this ribosomal RNA (390 nucleotides) under uncultured bacterium. RNAcentral's name for it is "bacterial SSU rRNA". It matches the Rfam family "Bacterial small subunit ribosomal RNA", at positions 28 to 417 of the family's 1533-position model. The record is from RNAcentral.
GACGAACGCUGGCGGCGUGCUUAACACAUGCAAGUCGAGCGGUAAGGCCCUUUCGGGGGUACGACGAGCGGCGAACGGGUAGAGUAACACGUGGGUGACCUGCCCUUAGCUCUGGGAUAAGCCUGGGAAACUAGGGUCUAAUACCGGAUAUGACUCCAUGACGCAUGUUGUGGGGUGGAAAGCCUUGUGCGGCUAGGGAUGGGCCUGCGGCCUAUCAGCCUGUUGGUGGGGUGAUGGCCACCAAGGCGACGACGGGUAGCCGGCCUGAGAGGGCGACCGGCCACACUGGGACUGAGACACGGCCCAGACUCCUACGGGAGGCAGCAGUGGGGAAUCUUGCGCAAUGGGCGAAAGCCUGACGCAGCGACGCCGCGUGAGGGAUGACGGCCU